RNAcentral lists this ribosomal RNA (253 nucleotides) under uncultured bacterium. RNAcentral's name for it is "partial 16S ribosomal RNA". It matches the Rfam family "Bacterial small subunit ribosomal RNA", at positions 524 to 776 of the family's 1533-position model. The record is from RNAcentral.
UACGUAGGGAGCAAGCGUUGUUCGGAUUUACUGGGCGUAAAGGGCGCGUAGGCGGCGCGACAAGUCACUUGUGAAAUCUCCGGGCUUAACUCGGAACGGUCAAGUGAAACUGUCAUGCUAGAGUGCAGAAGGGGCAAUCGGAAUUCUUGGUGUAGCGGUGAAAUGCGUAGAUAUCAAGAGGAACACCUGAGGUGAAGACGGGUUGCUGGGCUGACACUGACGCUGAACUGCGAAAGCUAGGGGAGCGAACGGG